This 86-nucleotide transfer RNA is filed under the name Actinomycetota bacterium. Its description in RNAcentral is "tRNA-Arg". The stretch from base 24 to 86 matches the Rfam family "tRNA". From Rfam's summary of the family: Transfer RNA (tRNA) molecules are approximately 80 nucleotides in length. Their secondary structure includes four short double-helical elements and three loops (D, anti-codon, and T loops). Further hydrogen bonds mediate the characteristic L-shaped molecular structure. tRNAs have two regions of fundamental functional importance: the anti-codon, which is responsible for specific mRNA codon recognition, and the 3' end, to which the tRNAs corresponding amino acid is attached (by aminoacyl-tRNA synthetases). tRNAs cope with the degeneracy of the genetic code in two manners: having more than one tRNA (with a specific anti-codon) for a particular amino acid; and 'wobble' base-pairing, i.e. permitting non-standard base-pairing at the 3rd anti-codon position. The record is from RNAcentral. Lineage: Bacteria; Bacillati; Actinomycetota.
UGCGACUUUGUGUCAAAGCACCAGGUCUUGGGGCUGCCCGCAUCUGACUACGGAUCAGAAGGUUGGGGGUUCGAAUCCCUCCGAGC